This 252-nucleotide ribosomal RNA is filed under the name uncultured Bacteroidales bacterium. Its description in RNAcentral is "partial 16S ribosomal RNA". It matches the Rfam family "Bacterial small subunit ribosomal RNA", at positions 524 to 776 of the family's 1533-position model. The record is from RNAcentral. Lineage: Bacteria; Pseudomonadati; Bacteroidota; Bacteroidia; Bacteroidales.
UACGGAGGAUGCGAGCGUUAUCCGGAUUUAUUGGGUUUAAAGGGUGCGUAGGCGGAUUUUUAAGUCAGCGGUAAAAUGUCCGGGCUCAACCCCGGCCCGCCGUUGAAACUGGUUUUCUAGAGUUGGAGAGAAGUAUGCGGAAUUCGUGGUGUAGCGGUGAAAUGCAUAGAUAUCACGAAGAACUCCGAUUGCGAAGGCAGCAUACCGGCUCCAUACUGACGCUGAGGCACGAAAGCGUGGGGAUCGAACAGG